Populus nigra (black poplar) is the source of this 681-nucleotide long non-coding RNA. RefSeq lists it as uncharacterized. The record is from RefSeq and is a predicted model, not a curated record. The transcript is spliced from 2 exons. Lineage: Eukaryota; Viridiplantae; Streptophyta; Magnoliopsida; Malpighiales; Salicaceae.
AGACAAUCCUAGCUAGCUAGCUAGCUAGCCUGUGGAUCUUCUCGGAUCCUAGAAAAUUAUCGCAAACUCUCUCAAUCUACAGAAUUGGGAUGGACCAUACAAGUUUUCAGUUCCUGGGUUCAACCUCCGAGGAGAAUGACAUCAAUGGAAAACUGUGGCAAAGAGUUACUGUUAUCUGAGUGUUACAUCCAAGAUUAGCUGAUCAUAAGCAUCCUUGAAAAAACAGAGGAUGUGAACGAAGUUAUUAAUGAUGUCUUUGGGCUCUUACGUGUCUUCAUGGUUAGCCAAAUAGCUACAAGAGACGAAAGAACACAGAGUGAAGAAAUCAUUUUGCAAGGCAACUCACCGGCCGUGCAUUGGUUUUGACACGAAUGCAGAAAUAAUUUGCUACCUAAUCCGAUGGGUAGAGGAGGUAGAAUCAAUAGUCAAAUGUCUUGUGUUUGCAAUCAACAGUAGAAUCAAUACAGAACACAAGACUUCGGCCGCUUAAAAUACAGAAUUGUUGUGCUUUUUGGUGAUGUUUCCAAUUCCUAAGCAUGCUGUUUUGAUCUAAAAUGGCUCAUUACAUUUAAGCUUGCGGAUUUGUAAUCAGAGACGAAGUGUCUUUAGCUAAUAUGAUUUCUUCAAAGAAAAUGCCCGUUUAUGUCAUGCUAAAGUUUCUUUGUUCAUUAUUCUAAGAGA